This 1180-nucleotide long non-coding RNA is filed under the name Carica papaya (papaya). RNAcentral's name for it is "long non-coding RNA (CPAP_LNC015737)". The record is from RNAcentral. Lineage: Eukaryota; Viridiplantae; Streptophyta; Magnoliopsida; Brassicales; Caricaceae.
GGAAGCGUAAUAAAAAUUUUGAUUAACAUCUCUUAAACAAUAAUCAAAACGUACUCAAAACAUGAAAGAACAAACUGACUAAAAGAGAUACUCGAAAUAAAAACUAUAAAUAUAACUAUAAAGUCUUUAGGCGUCCCCUUUGUCGUCUUCCUGCAGAACGUGCUCGGGAACAACGUUUUACUGAUCUGAAAUAGUUAAAUAAGAGAUGAGUUACACCAGCCCAGUAAAGACAUCACACUAUCUCACCGCCACGAAAGUAAAGGUGGGUAGAAAACAAAAAUGACCAAUGGAGCAUAAUUUAUAACAAACUCAUUUAUUAACAUAAAAACCUUUAUUAUCCACUUACCUCGGUGAGAUUUAUGAAAACAAUAUAUGAAAGCAAUAACAUUAUCAUCAUCAUGAAAUCAUAUAAACUUUAUAACAUAACACUUACCACGCCUUUGCAUUUCGAUCAUUAAACAACAUAUUUUCCUCUUUUACCAACCUACUAGUAUCCCUAGGGAUCCAUAAGGGGUCUCCACUACCCGUGAACUAUUAACAUUACAACCUGAUUCUAGCACCGUCCCCAUAAUCCGUCCGGUAUGGGCGCCAAAAUACCUAAAGUCUCCAUACCCCGUCCGGUAUGAGAGAUCACGUUCCUGGUAAGGUUCCCUACGGACCCGGUCCGUCCACCAUCUCUCAGGAUAUCUAGUCAGGCUGUCCACAUUAUCUAUUUAUCAAUUCACAUAACCCUUUUGCCUUUUUCCUUAAUCUCAAUCAUACAAUUCAGAUUUAUAUUAUAAAAAUAUAUCUAUAUUUGAUUUGAUACUAUUUAUUUAUUAAUAUAUGUAUAUAAUAAUUAAAAAUAUAAAAAAUAAUAAAAUAAAAAAUUCUAAAAAUACACACACUGAAAACUCUAUUUUAUCUCUUUUUUAUCUUAUUCCUUUCAUCUUCUUUAUAUUCCUUUAUCUUCAUCUUUAUCUUUACAUUCAAUCGUUUAGUGAAAAAGUUAUGAGCAACUUCGAUUUCACAAAUCGUAAAAUUAUCACUUUUUUUUGUAAUUCCUCACUUUGUUAUUCAACAGUAAUACAAUAUCUUUAUUUGUUAACUCGCGGUAUUAUUAUCUCAUUUGCGACUUCACACUCUAAUAUCACUCAGCAAUAAUACUGAGAAUGAUAUUGCUGAAUGAUACUAUUUUUCA